RNAcentral lists this unclassified non-coding RNA (338 nucleotides) under plant metagenome. RNAcentral's name for it is "partial contains 5.8S ribosomal RNA, internal transcribed spacer 2, and large subunit ribosomal RNA". The stretch from base 1 to 105 matches the Rfam family "5.8S ribosomal RNA", at positions 50 to 154 of the family's 154-position model. The record is from RNAcentral.
GAAAUGCGAUAAGUAAUGUGAAUUGCAGAAUUCAGUGAAUCAUCGAAUCUUUGAACGCACAUUGCGCCCGCCAGUAUUCUGGCGGGCAUGCCUGUUCGAGCGUCAUUACAACCCUCAGGCCCCCGGGCCUGGCGUUGGGGAUCGGCGGAAGCCCCCUGCGGGCACAACGCCGUCCCCCAAAUACAGUGGCGGUCCCGCCGCAGCUUCCAUUGCGUAGUAGCUAACACCUCGCAACUGGAGAGCGGCGCGGCCACGCCGUAAAACACCCAACUUCUGAAUGUUGACCUCGAAUCAGGUAGGAAUACCCGCUGAACUUAAGCAUAUCAAUAAGCGGAGGA